GAUGAACGCUGGCGGCGUGCCUAAUACAUGCAAGUCGAGCGAACUGAUUAGAAGCUUGCUUCUAUGACGUUAGCGGCGGACGGGUGAGUAACACGUGGGCAACCUGCCUGUAAGACUGGGAUAACUUCGGGAAACCGAAGCUAAUACCGGAUAGAAUCUUCUCCUUCAUGGGAGAUGAUUGAAAGAUGGUUUCGGCUAUCACUUACAGAUGGGCCCGCGGUGCAUUAGCUAGUUGGUGAGGUAACGGCUCACCAAGGCAACGAUGCAUAGCCGGCCUGAGAGGGUGAUCGGCCACACUGGGACUGGGACACGGCCCAGACUCCUACGGGAGGCAGCAGUAGGGAAUCUUCCGCAAUGGACGAAAGUCUGACGGAGCAACGCCGCGUGAGUGAUGAAGGCUUUCGGGUCGUAAAACUCUGUUGUUAGGGAAGAACAAGUACGAGAGUAACUGCUCGUACCUUGACGGUACCUAACCAGAAAGCCACGGCUAACUACGUGCCAGCAGCCGCCGUAA
RNAcentral lists this ribosomal RNA (514 nucleotides) under uncultured bacterium. RNAcentral's name for it is "partial 16S ribosomal RNA". It matches the Rfam family "Bacterial small subunit ribosomal RNA", at positions 28 to 523 of the family's 1533-position model. The record is from RNAcentral.